UACGGAGGGUGCAAGCGUUAUCCGGAUUCACUGGGUUUAAAGGGUGUGUAGGCGGGUAGUUAAGUCAGUGGUGAAAUCUCCAGGCUCAACCUGGAAACUGCCAUUGAUACUAUCUAUCUUGAAUUUUGUUGAGGUAGGCGGAAUAUGUCAUGUAGCGGUGAAAUGCAUAGAUAUGACAUAGAACACCAAUUGCGAAGGCAGCUUACUAAGCAAAUAUUGACGCUGAGGCACGAAAGCGUGGGGAUCAAACAGG
This 253-nucleotide ribosomal RNA is filed under the name uncultured bacterium. Its description in RNAcentral is "partial 16S ribosomal RNA". It matches the Rfam family "Bacterial small subunit ribosomal RNA", at positions 524 to 776 of the family's 1533-position model. The record is from RNAcentral.